Molecule: ribosomal RNA, 501 nt
Filed under: uncultured bacterium
Lineage: Bacteria
Description: partial 16S ribosomal RNA
Rfam family: Bacterial small subunit ribosomal RNA
Source: RNAcentral
AUUGAACGCUGGCGGCAGGCUUAACACAUGCAAGUCGAGCGGGGGAAGGUAGCUUGCUACCGGACCUAGCGGCGGACGGGUGAGUAAUGCUUAGGAAUCUGCCUAUUAGUGGGGGACAACAUCUCGAAAGGGAUGCUAAUACCGCAUACGUCCUACGGGAGAAAGCAGGGGAUCUUCGGACCUUGCGCUAAUAGAUGAGCCUAAGUCGGAUUAGCUAGUUGGUGGGGUAAAGGCCUACCAAGGCGACGAUCUGUAGCGGGUCUGAGAGGAUGAGCCGCAACACUGGUACUGAGUCACGGCCCAGACUCCUACGGGAGGCAGCAGUGGGGAAUAUUGGACAAUGGGGGGAACCCUGAUCCAGCCAUGCCGCGUGUGUGAAGAAGGCCUUAUGGUUGUAAAGCACUUUAAGCGAGGAGGAGGCUACUCUAGUUAAUACCUAGGGAUAGUGGACGUUACUCGCAGAAUAAGCACCGGCUAACUCUGUGCCAGCCGCCGCGGUAA